AGUGAACGCUGGCGGUAGGCCUAACACAUGCAAGUCGAACGGCAGCACAGUAAGAGCUUGCUCUUACGGGUGGCGAGUGGCGGACGGGUGAGGAAUACAUCGGAAUCUACUUUUUCGUGGGGGAUAACGUAGGGAAACUUACGCUAAUACCGCAUACGACCUACGGGUGAAAGCAGGGGAUCUUCGGACCUUGCGCGAUUGAAUGAGCCGAUGUCGGAUUAGCUAGUUGGCGGGGUAAAGGCCCACCAAGGCGCCGAUCCGUAGCCGGUCUGAGAGGAUGAUCAGCCACACUGGAACUGAGACACGGUCCAGACUCCUGCGGGAGGCAGCAGUGGGGAAUAUUAGACAAUGGUCGCAAGCCUGAUCCAGCCAUACCGCGUGUGUGAAGAAGGCCUUCGGGUUGUAAAGCCCUUUUUUUGGGAGAGAAAAGCAUCAGGUUAAUACCCCGCUGUUCUGACGGUACCCAAUGAAUAAGCACCGGCUAACUUCGUG
This 492-nucleotide ribosomal RNA is filed under the name uncultured bacterium. Its description in RNAcentral is "partial 16S ribosomal RNA". It matches the Rfam family "Bacterial small subunit ribosomal RNA", at positions 29 to 507 of the family's 1533-position model. The record is from RNAcentral.